RNAcentral lists this non-coding RNA (148 nucleotides) under Homo sapiens (human). Lineage: Eukaryota; Metazoa; Chordata; Mammalia; Primates; Hominidae. The record is from Rfam by way of RNAcentral.
GCCGGGCGGGGUGGCGCGCGCCUGUAAUCCCAGCUACUCGGGAGGCUGAGGCAGGAGAAUCUCUUGGACCCAGGAGGCGGAGGUUGCAGUGAGCCGAGAUCGCGCCACUGUUCUCCAGCCUGGGCUACAGAGCGAGACUCUGUCUCGA